Molecule: transfer RNA, 63 nt
Filed under: Sagaminopteron nigropunctatum
Lineage: Eukaryota; Metazoa; Mollusca; Gastropoda; Cephalaspidea; Gastropteridae
Description: tRNA-Asp
Rfam family: tRNA
About the family: Transfer RNA (tRNA) molecules are approximately 80 nucleotides in length. Their secondary structure includes four short double-helical elements and three loops (D, anti-codon, and T loops).
Source: RNAcentral
AUUAAUUUAGUUUAUAAAAAUGUAGGAUUGUCAAUCCUAAGAUCUGAGUAUUCAGAAUUAAUU